AAAGGAGGACAGGAGAGAAGGAGGGAGGCUGCUUGUCAUGGGAUUCACCCUUGCCUCUGACAGCCAGUAACUAUUCUUGUAAGGCCGAAACCGGUCCAACACACAUCUGAGAUCCUGUGAGAGGCCUGGCCCUUUUGAAAGUGGAGAAAAGGACAAGUGGCGAAGGGAACAGGCCAGCUGUGCACAGCUGGCGAAGAGGGAUGGUGGCCAUGUAUGGCCAGUGAAGUCAAGUCAGAUGACGAGACUGAGGGUCAGAGAAGUAAAGUGGCCUGGUGAGGAGCCCGGGAGCUGAUGUCUGCCCUGUUCAGGUCCAUGUGACCCAUGGUGCUGCUCCGGUCUGAAGUCAGGGCCUGUGAGAUGCGGAUGAGACGAAGAUGGAAGUCUUUCUGUCCUGGGGCGUCGCCACCUUCGGCUUCGCCCUCUGUGAUGGAGCUGUAAGAGCUGCUGCCUAGAAACCUGUUCUCAAACAUCUACCCGUGCAUGUAUCCCUAUUUUCAGUUUUCCUUGACCUUUAUAGAAAAAUUCUUGCGUGAAUUGUGUUCCUGUGGGCCAGAGUUUUGGGUUUCUUGUUGGUUUGUUUUCAGGUAAUAUCAGUUGAGGAACUGCC
Mesocricetus auratus (golden hamster) is the source of this 607-nucleotide long non-coding RNA. RefSeq lists it as uncharacterized. The transcript is spliced from 3 exons. NCBI's taxonomy places the organism in Eukaryota, Metazoa, Chordata, Mammalia, Rodentia, Cricetidae. The record is from RefSeq and is a predicted model, not a curated record.